This 780-nucleotide ribosomal RNA is filed under the name Triticum aestivum (bread wheat). Its description in RNAcentral is "partial small subunit ribosomal RNA". Lineage: Eukaryota; Viridiplantae; Streptophyta; Magnoliopsida; Poales; Poaceae. The record is from RNAcentral.
AUGCAGCUCAUAUCUGGUGGUCAGAUUGUUGACUCUAGUUGUAGAGUCAUUCUUGACUUUGAUUCGUGUUCUGUUCAGGAUCGUCACACGGGCGUUCUACUUGGUGUUGGCCCUCGACGCUCUGAGGGUCUCUGGGAGCUUGACUGGCUUCGUCUUCCCUCUGCUACCACCGCCACCAGUCUCACAGCCCAUGUUGCUUCAUCUACCAGCUCUUUUCAGCAAUGGCAUUAUCGUCUUGGCCAUUUAUGUGGUUCUCGUCUCUUGUCUUUGGUUCAUCGCGGUGUUCUGGGGUCUGUCUCCGGUAAUGCUUCGUUGGAUUGUCUAGGUUGUAGGCUUGGCAAGCAGAUUCAGCUACCCUAUCCUCAUAGUGAGUCAGUGUCCGAGCGCCCUUUUGAUCUCGUUCACUCUGACGUUUGGGGUCCGGCUCCCUUCGCUUCGAAAGGAGGCCACCGAUAUUAUAUUAUUUUUAUAGACAAUUUUUCUCGGUACACAUGGAUCUAUUUCAUGUCUUCUCGUAGUGAGGUCUUAUCUAUAUACAAAAAAUUUGCUGCCAUGGUUCAUACCCAGUUUUCGACUCCUAUUCGUGUUUUUCAUGCAGAUUCAGCUGGUGAGUAUAUCUCCCAUGCGCUGCGAAGAUUCCUUGCUGAGCAGGGUACUCUAGCUCAGUUCUCUUGUCCUGGUGCUCAUGCUCAAAAUGGUGUGGCUGAGCGCAAGAAUCGUCACCUUCUUGAGACGGCGCGUGCGAUGAUGAUUGCCGCCUCUCUUCCGCCUCACUUCUAG